This 62-nucleotide transfer RNA is filed under the name Isotes sp. REN-2018. RNAcentral's name for it is "tRNA-Asp". Lineage: Eukaryota; Metazoa; Arthropoda; Insecta; Coleoptera; Chrysomelidae. The record is from RNAcentral.
AAAAAUUUAGUUAAAAUAUAACAUUAGUUUGUCAAGCUAAAAUUAUCAUAAGAUAAUUUUUA